RNAcentral lists this ribosomal RNA (457 nucleotides) under uncultured Streptococcus sp. RNAcentral's name for it is "bacterial SSU rRNA". It matches the Rfam family "Bacterial small subunit ribosomal RNA", at positions 925 to 1382 of the family's 1533-position model. Lineage: Bacteria; Bacillati; Bacillota; Bacilli; Lactobacillales; Streptococcaceae. The record is from RNAcentral.
ACAAGCAGCGGAGCGUGUGGUUUAAUUCGAAGCAACGCGAAGAACCUUUACCAGGUCUUGACAUCCCGAUGCUAUUUCUAGAGAUAGAAAGUUACUUCGGUACAUCGGUGACAGGUGGUGCAUGGUUGUCGUCAGCUCGUGUCGUGAGAUGUUGGGUUAAGUCCCGCAACGAGCGCAACCCCUAUUGUUAGUUGCCAUCAUUCAGUUGGGCACUCUAGCGAGACUGCCGGUAAUAAACCGGAGGAAGGUGGGGAUGACGUCAAAUCAUCAUGCCCCUUAUGACCUGGGCUACACACGUGCUACAAUGGUUGGUACAACGAGUUGCGAGUCGGUGACGGCGAGCUAAUCUCUUAAAGCCAAUCUCAGUUCGGAUUGUAGGCUGCAACUCGCCUACAUGAAGUCGGAAUCGCUAGUAAUCGCGGAUCAGCACGCCGCGGUGAAUACGUUCCCGGGCCUU